This 440-nucleotide ribosomal RNA is filed under the name uncultured bacterium. RNAcentral describes it as "partial 16S ribosomal RNA". It matches the Rfam family "Bacterial small subunit ribosomal RNA", at positions 339 to 795 of the family's 1533-position model. The record is from RNAcentral.
CUACGGGGUGCCGCAGUGAGGAAUAUUGCACAAUGGGGGGAACCCUGAUGCAGCAACGCCGCGUGGAGGAUGACGCAUUUCGGUGUGUAAACUCCUUUUAUAUGUCAAGAAAAUGACGGUAGCAUAUGAAUAAGCACCGGCUAACUCCGUGCCAGCAGGCCGCGGUAAUACGGAGGGUGCAAGCGUUACUCGGAAUCACUGGGCGUAAAGGUCGCGUAGGCGGGUUGGAAAGUCAGGUGUGAAAUCCUACAGCUUAACUGUAGAACUGCACUUGAAACUUCUAAUCUAGAGUAUGGGAGGGGGAGAUGGAAUUAGUGGUGUAGGGGUAAUAUCCGUAGAUAUCACUAGGAAUACCUAAAGCGAAGGCGAUCUCCUGGAACAUUACUGACGCUAAGGCGUGAAAGCGUGGGGAGCAAACAGGAUUAGAUACCCGUGUAGUC